ACAUAUUCUUUGGCUAAGAUCAAGUGUAGUAUCUGUUCUUUUGAGAUUAAAAUCUGAUAUGACGCUUAUGGAGUGUCGAGAUUUUAAUCUAAUUUUUGAACUCCCGGCUUGAGGUUCGGUAUUUAUACCGCCCUUGCCACAGAUUGGCCCGCUAUUGCACUCUAUGCGGGAGCGGCCUUCAUAAA
This 185-nucleotide small nuclear RNA is filed under the name Stegodyphus mimosarum. RNAcentral's name for it is "U2 spliceosomal RNA". It matches the Rfam family "U2 spliceosomal RNA". From Rfam's summary of the family: U2 is a small nuclear RNA (snRNA) component of the spliceosome (involved in pre-mRNA splicing). Complementary binding between U2 snRNA (in an area lying towards the 5' end but 3' to hairpin I) and the branchpoint sequence (BPS) of the intron results the bulging out of an unpaired adenosine, on the BPS, which initiates a nucleophilic attack at the intronic 5' splice site, thus starting the first of two transesterification reactions that mediate splicing. Lineage: Eukaryota; Metazoa; Arthropoda; Arachnida; Araneae; Eresidae. The record is from Rfam by way of RNAcentral.